GCAUCCUGUAGCCCCGCUGUCCCUCCAGGAUGUCCCGGUGGGAUGGGAGCCGGCGCCACCCCGACCUCUGUUCCAGCCACCCGCCUGCAGCCCGGGCCCCAGUUCCGGGGCCUGUACCGAUCAUAUCCUCCUCCCGGUCCUCAAAGCUGAUCCUAGUGUUGUACUUCUCCAUCAGAGUCGAGGACUCCAGGGUGUCCCUCACCUUUGUGUCGCCCUGCAGGGCAAAGCCCCCUUCAGCCGUGCAGACACUCUGAACGGGAGCCUGUCAGCUUUGAGGGGACGUGGGCUGUGCAGGUUCCUCCCAGCCCGGGGCUACCUCCUCGGUCCUGGACACCAUCUGCACUCUGUCAGCCAGCAUGUCUGUCAUCUUCUUCUCAACGGACUUGAAGCUGCAGAAGGCAAUAGGGACACAGCAGUGAGGGGCACAGCCCCGAGAGCCAUGGUGGGCCACCCAGGAGCCCAGUCCUGAGUUGGGUGCUGUGCCAGAAUCAGGGACUCGGAAGCUCAGGUGUGUGCAAGUGGAGCCCCCUGGCCCCUCUGUGGGACACACAGGCUUGUUGGCAGUGGGUACACUCCCAGCUCCCAGCCUGGCUGCAGCCCGGGGCCUUCGUGAGACUGGGGUGGGUGGCCCGCAGCCCCGGAAGCCCGGGGCACCUGAUGGAGCUAGGCUUCUGGCGGAACUUGAGCACGGCCUCCUCCAGCUCCAGCUGCUUCACCAGGGCCUUCAGCUGCACCCGCCGCUCCUCACAGUCCUCCAUCUGCAGCUCCAGGUUCUCCUCCGUGUUCCUCUGGGCCAGGAAGCGGCUAGCAAUGUCCUGGCCAGUCCGGGGGAGAGAGAAGCAGGUGUGGGCUGGGAAGGUGGGCAGAGGGGGCUUCACAGAACUGGUUUCUUCUGGGCCCCUCCUAGAGGCUAGUGCACUUUCUCUGUGCUCAUUCACAAGUGCGAUCACAGCUCACUGCAGCCUCAACCUCCCAGACUCAAGCGAUCCUCCCACCUCAGCUUCCUGAGUAGCUGGGACCACAGGUGUGCGCCACCACACUUAGCAGGAGUGAAGCGCUUUGUGGAUGUCAUUGCACACGACCCUAAUGGCAGGCAGAGAGAGUAGAUAACCCCAUGUAGAGAUAAGGAGAUCAUCACUGAAGGACGUUGUGUCACUUGAGUCACUUGUCUGACAGUGGACAAGCUUGUGUCAGGGCAGUGGUUGGGAGCUCAAGGCCUAAUAAUAAUAAACGCAGAUACGCAGAUGGGAUUAAGAUAAAAGGAUUUGGGGCGGCCGAGGGAGUUGCCACUUUGUGUGUCCAUUUCAGAGCGCCUCAGACCCCAGCCCAGCUCAGCCACCCUCCUGCCAUGCUCUGGGAGUGCCAGGGAGCAUUACCCAGACGUGAGAGGCUCAGCCACCCUCCUGCCAUUCUCUGGGAGCGCCAGGGGCAUUACCCAGACGUGAGAGCACUGUACAGCACUCUUGACCUUCUCCACCACAGCAGUCACGCCCGCCUGGUAUUCCAUUUCUCCUGUGGAGGUCUCUUUUCUCCUCACUGGCAGAGCAGAGGGGAGGGGCAGUCAGCAUGCAGGGAUGGCUCAGGGGCUCUGUGUAAGGCUGUCAGACACCUCUGUACCUGCCCAGCUGCUGGGGAGGCCACCCAAGACACAGGCAUCCUUCAGAGAUGCCUGCCCCACCCCCACCU
This 1686-nucleotide long non-coding RNA is filed under the name Pan troglodytes (chimpanzee). RNAcentral describes it as "long non-coding RNA NONPTRT018010". Lineage: Eukaryota; Metazoa; Chordata; Mammalia; Primates; Hominidae. The record is from RNAcentral.